GACUUUACAAAUUGACACUCCUGUCUAUGGCAUCAGUAAUCUCCCUAUGCUCCAGUCAUGAGUUUCCAAGGCUAUGGAAGCCCCUUGAGUUCUCCGACUCUUAUCUUGUUUAGACAAGGUCAUAGUCAAAGUGGAGGUUCUCUCCUCCCUUCAGAGAAAGGUACCUC
Molecule: non-coding RNA, 167 nt
Organism: Oryctolagus cuniculus (rabbit)
Lineage: Eukaryota; Metazoa; Chordata; Mammalia; Lagomorpha; Leporidae
Source: RefSeq, a predicted model, not a curated record